GUUUGAUCCUGGCUCAGGAUGAACGCUGGCGGCGUGCCUAACACAUGCAAGUCGAACGAAGAUGCAUUUCAGAUCCCUUCGGGGUGACGAGAUGCAGACUUAGUGGCGGACGGGUGAGUAAUGUAUGAGCAACCUGCCUUCAAGAGGGGAAUAACAGUCGGAAACGACUGCUAAUACCGCAUAAUAAAGCGUAGUCGCAUGACAAUGCUUUCAAAGGAGCAAUCCGCUUGAAGAUGGGCUCAUAUCUGAUUAGAUAGUUGGUGAGGUAACGGCUCACCAAGUCUGCGAUCAGUAGCCGGACUGAGAGGUUGAACGGCCACAUUGGAACUGAGAUACGGUCCAGACUCCUACGGGAGGCAGCAGUGGGGAAUAUUGGGCAAUGGGCGAAAGCCUGACCCAGCAACGCCGCGUGAAGGAAGAAGGUCUUCGGAUUGUAAACUUUUGUCUUAUGGGACGAUAAUGACGGUACCAUAGGAGGAAGCCACGACUAACUACGUGCCAGCAGUCGCGGUAAUACGUAGGUGGCGAGCGUUAUCCGGAAUUAUUGGGUGUAAAGGGUGCGUAGGCGGGUCGUAAAG
RNAcentral lists this ribosomal RNA (578 nucleotides) under uncultured bacterium. RNAcentral's name for it is "bacterial SSU rRNA". It matches the Rfam family "Bacterial small subunit ribosomal RNA", at positions 11 to 587 of the family's 1533-position model. The record is from RNAcentral.